This 253-nucleotide ribosomal RNA is filed under the name uncultured bacterium. Its description in RNAcentral is "partial 16S ribosomal RNA". It matches the Rfam family "Bacterial small subunit ribosomal RNA", at positions 524 to 776 of the family's 1533-position model. The record is from RNAcentral.
UACGUAGGGUGCGAGCGUUGUCCGGAAUUAUUGGGCGUAAAGGGCUCGUAGGCGGUCUGUCGCGUCGAAAGUGAAAACUCAGGGCUUAACCCUGAGCCUGCUUCCGAUACGGGCAGACUAGAGGUAUGCAGGGGAGAACGGAAUUCCUGGUGUAGCGGUGAAAUGCGCAGAUAUCAGGAGGAACACCGGUGGCGAAGGCGGAUCUCUGGGCCUUACCUGACGCUGAGACGCGAAAGCGUGGGGAGCAAACAGG